CGAAGCAACGCGAAGAACCUUACCAGAUCUUGACAUCAAUUGACCAUCUUUUAUCGAGAUUUUGCCUUCGGGUACAAUUGAGACAGGUGGUGCAUGGUUGUCGUCAGCUCGUGUCGUGAGAUGUUGGGGUUAAGUCCCGCAACGAGCGCAACCCUUGUGUUUAGUUGCAAACAGGCCAAGCUGUGCACUCUAGACAGACUGCCGUGGACAACACGGAGGAAGGUGGGGAUGACGUCAAAUCAUCAUGCCCCUUAUGAUCUGGGCUACACACGUGCUACAAUGGCCGGUACAACGGGCAGCGAAGGAGCGAUCCGGAGCGAAUCCUAAAAAGCCGGUCCCAGUUCGGAUUGCAGGCUGAAACUCGCCUACAUGAAGUUGGAGUUGCUAGUAAUCGCGAAUCAGAAUGUCGCGGUGAAUGCGUUCCCGGGUCUU
Molecule: ribosomal RNA, 432 nt
Filed under: uncultured Fusibacter sp.
Lineage: Bacteria; Bacillati; Bacillota; Clostridia; Eubacteriales; Fusibacteraceae
Description: bacterial SSU rRNA
Rfam family: Bacterial small subunit ribosomal RNA
Source: RNAcentral